UUUCACAGGUUACCCCGUGGCCUGAGUGAGGAAGUCAAUGUCCUUGCUAGUCACUAUUUGUGGCGACAUCUUCAAAUUGCGUGAAACCCGUCAUACAGCUUCAAGUACCACUUCAAUUGAGAAAUCUUUUGAAGGAACAGAGGUAACUCCUCUUCCCAACGGUAACAAGCUUGAAGACAUGGUGGCAAUGCGCAGCCAAGCUCCUAAGUCGGUCGAUAUGGAGAAGGUUCAGAGAGCAGACGGAGAUGGGCGGUAAUUUAACCGCUUAAGGUGUGCUCCAGCCUCUUUCGAAAGAUUGAG
Macrostomum lignano is the source of this 300-nucleotide non-coding RNA. The record is from Rfam. Lineage: Eukaryota; Metazoa; Platyhelminthes; Macrostomidae.